ACCACACACCGCUCUGUGCCUCAUGGCUGCAGCAGCUCAGCUUCCCCCCAUGGGGGAGAGGUGCUUCACAUGGGGGUUACCAACUCUCAGCAGCACAGUCACGCCGCUGCUCUCUGAUGUAAAUGACACCGUGGCCUCUCCUGCAACGUGCUCUGAUAGCAUGUAGGCUAGAGCACAGACGGACACGGAGCAGGAGCUGAAUCCUGCGCUGCUCCGAUAAAUCCCAGCCGGGCCCUGAAGUGCGCACAGCUGCCAAUUAAUGGUCUCAGAGUGCCACCUAGCGGUAGACGACUGCAGCAGCUGAUGGUGGAAUCCACCACCACACGGAGCUCAGCUGAGGGUGUGGACUCUGCUGUGUUUGGAGAGCAAACCACCAGCGAAGUGGGAUUACCUGAGUCACCGUGCGCCCCCGCUCCCCCGCGGCUCUCACCUCUCACCCCACACCCCCACAGGGUGACUACGCAGGCUCCGUCCUUAAGCGUUUUUCAGGUGGCCGGGAAAAUUGGUGUUUGCUCCAGGAGGCGGCCGUGAGUCACCGCGUUCUGUCGAGCAGAGAGGACAUGGCAGAUUUGUCAACACAAGCGCUCGCAGAACUGCAGAGAACAGACAGAGACGGAGAGAAGGCUAAACGAAUGGAAGUCUGAGUCACCGGCCGCCCCGAGAGCAGCUCCGUCUGGAGGUACAGUCCGCCAGGACAAACCUCUGGUGACAGAGGGUAUUUUCCCCACACUGACAGGCAACAACAGGGUGUCACAGUUACAAUAUGUUGUGUGACUGGCCUUAAAUGCACUUUAGAACUUUUCCAAUCAGGGCUUGUGUGUUAAUUGAUGCCUCACUUCCUGCUUUGGUUCCCAUCAGCUGAAAUGCACUGGCUUACAGACACAGCAGGGUGUGUGUGCGUGUGUGUGUGUGUGUGUGGGUGCUAAAACAACAAACAGCCUCCAUGGUCCCAAACAAUGCAAGGGGUUUAUACUAAUUAAAUUGCUUCUUGAACAAGA
This is a long non-coding RNA of Betta splendens (Siamese fighting fish), 998 nucleotides long. RefSeq lists it as uncharacterized. The transcript is spliced from 4 exons. The record is from RefSeq and is a predicted model, not a curated record. Lineage: Eukaryota; Metazoa; Chordata; Actinopteri; Anabantiformes; Osphronemidae.